GAUAAACGCUGGCGGCGUGCAUGAGACAUGCAAGUCGAACGGUCAAUCGGGCUUGCUCGAUUGAUAGUGGCGGACGGCUGAGUAACGCGUAGGUGACCUGCCCCGAAGUGGGGAAUAACUGCCCGAAAGGGUGGCUAAUACCGCAUGUGGUGUCACGUUCGUUCGUGACUCCAAAGUCGUAAGGCGCUUCGGGAGGGGCCUGCGUCCGAUUAGCUCGUUGGUGAGGUAACGGCUCACCAAGGCGACGAUCGGUAGGUGGUCUGAGAGGACGAUCACCCAGACUGGGACUGAGACACGGCCCAGACUCCUACGGGAGGCAGCAGUCGGGAAUUUUGGGCAAUGGGCGAAAGCCUGACCCAGCAACGCCGCGUGGGGGAUGAAGGCCUUCGGGUCGUAAACCUCUUUUCUCAGGGACGAUAAUGACGGUACCUGAUGAAUAAGCCACGGCUAACUACGUGCCAGCAGCCGCGGUAAUACGUAGGUGGCGAGCGUUGUCCGGAUUUACUGGGCGUAAAGAGCGCGCAGGCGGUCGUACAAGUCGAAUGUGAAAGCCCCCGGCUCAACUGGGGAGGGUCAUUCGAUACUGUUCGACUCGAAGGCAGGAGAGGGAAGCGGAAUUCCCGGUGUAGUGGUGAAAUGCGUAGAUAUCGGGAGGAACACCAGUGGCGAAGGCGGCUUCCUGGCCUGUUCUUGACGCUGAGGCGCGAAAGCUAGGGGAGCAAACGGGAUUAGAUACCCCGGUAGUCCUAGCCGUAAACGAUGGACACUAGGUGUUGGCGGUAUCAACCCCGCCAGUGCCGUAGCUAACGCAUUAAGUGUCCCGCCUGGGGAGUACGGCCGCAAGGCUA
This 848-nucleotide ribosomal RNA is filed under the name uncultured bacterium. RNAcentral describes it as "bacterial SSU rRNA". It matches the Rfam family "Bacterial small subunit ribosomal RNA", at positions 28 to 896 of the family's 1533-position model. The record is from RNAcentral.